This 824-nucleotide ribosomal RNA is filed under the name uncultured Orbus sp. RNAcentral's name for it is "bacterial SSU rRNA". It matches the Rfam family "Bacterial small subunit ribosomal RNA", at positions 592 to 1416 of the family's 1533-position model. The record is from RNAcentral. Lineage: Bacteria; Pseudomonadati; Pseudomonadota; Gammaproteobacteria; Orbales; Orbaceae.
AUGUGAAAGCCCCGGGCUCAACCUGGGAAUUGCAUUUAAAACUGGUUAACUAGAGUACUGUAGAGGGAGGUAGAAUUCCACGUGUAGCGGUGAAAUGCGUAGAGAUGUGGAGGAAUACCGGUGGCGAAGGCGGCCUUCUGGACAGAUACUGACGCUGAGAUGCGAAAGCGUGGGGAGCAAACAGGAUUAGAUACCCUGGUAGUCCACGCUGUAAACGAUGUCGAUUUGGAGUUUGUUGCCUAGAGUGAUGGGCUCCGAAGCUAACGCGAUAAAUCGACCGCCUGGGGAGUACGGCCGCAAGGUUAAAACUCAAAUGAAUUGACGGGGGCCCGCACAAGCGGUGGAGCAUGUGGUUUAAUUCGAUGCAACGCGAAGAACCUUACCUGGUCUUGACAUCCACAGAAUCUUGUAGAGAUACGAGAGUGCCUUCGGGAACUGUGAGACAGGUGCUGCAUGGCUGUCGUCAGCUCGUGUUGUGAAAUGUUGGGUUAAGUCCCGCAACGAGCGCAACCCUUAUCCUUUGUUGCCAGCACUUCGGGUGGGAACUCAAAGGAGACUGCCGUUGAUAAAGCGGAGGAAGGUGGGGACGACGUCAAGUCAUCAUGGCCCUUACGACCAGGGCUACACACGUGCUACAAUGGCGUAUACAAAGGGAGGCGAAGGUGCGAACUGGAGCGGACCUCACAAAGUACGUCUAAGUCCGGAUUGGAGUCUGCAACUCGACUCCAUGAAGUCGGAAUCGCUAGUAAUCGUGAAUCAGAAUGUCACGGUGAAUACGUUCCCGGGCCUUGUACACACCGCCCGUCACACCAUGGGAGUGGGUU